Molecule: long non-coding RNA, 724 nt
Filed under: Fukomys damarensis (Damara mole-rat)
Lineage: Eukaryota; Metazoa; Chordata; Mammalia; Rodentia; Bathyergidae
Description: lncRNA (ENSFDAG00000033600.1)
Source: RNAcentral
CAAAAACAUCAAUGCCAUGUAAAAUCUAUGGGUACUGCUUAAGGAACUAUUAUAUGGUAACACCAAUAUAAUGAUCAUCCUGGCUAGUAUUAGGAUAAUAUCUUUGAAACCUCUUGUCUGUCCCAUCUUAAUUAUGCAUCUCCCUUGGAAAUUAAGAUGAAAAAUCACAAUGACCCUAAAUGUGGAGCCAGAGAAUUUAUGAUCAUUUAGUGCCACCACACAACCUUGGACAAAUCCCAAUAUCUGUGUUAAUUUUUUUCCAAAGAGUUGCAGCCUCUGGCUCUUUGUUCUCUCCUGCUUAGAAAAACCAUAUGACUGGAUUGAAUAUUUGUGAAAUAACAGCACUCCUGGUCAUCAGAAUUGAUUUUUCCAGUGCAAGAAUGAGAAGAAAUGAUCGACGCAUCCCACAAAAUUUUGCUUCUGUUCACAAACUGCAUCGAAUGAAGAAAACGAAUAUGAAUCCCCUGAAUCAUGAUUCAAAUUAUGUUUGGGAGCCAAGGGCUGUUUUGGUGUCCUUAAUAUUUAUUAGGAACAUCUGCAAUACACACUCAGGGAUGCAACCAGGCCUUGAAGGCAGGUGAGGCAGAGCCAGAGCCGAGCUGCAGCCUCCUGUGGUGAAAAGAAGCAAGGGUCAGAAGUCCAAUAGCUGAGCAUACUGGACUUUUCCAAGAAAGUAAAUAUCACCUUCAGAAACGGCCCAUCAACUCUGAUGACAGGUUUUUUA